CUUACUCUAUCGUGUAAUAGUUCCCGUUUUUUCUUUGUGUAAGAAAACACCUUUUGUUCGAAUCAUACAAUUUUAAUAUAUUUUUUAAAUGUAACUUUGAUCCUACAUAAACUCUUAAUUAAUAUAUAAUUAUAUGUUCACAACUCAUCGGUGAAAUAUUCCUACAACUAGUUUUAUCAUCAUUAUACCUUAUAAUUUUUCCUUUACGUGUGAUGAAAGGAUAAAAUAGAAAUAAUAAUGAAGAAUUUGUACAAAAAACUAACGAGCUCUAACAAUAAUCAAGAGACGUUUAAAAAUAUUCUUAAUUUGAAAAAAGGUGGUUUUCACACUAUAAAGUAAUUAUACACUUUUAUACUUCUACAAGAAAACGAGAAAAAAUAUGGCAGAAAUUCUCAAGUUUAUUUAUGUUAUGAUUAUUUAUCUUUUCAUAUUUAUUGUUGUAACUGACCGUAAGUCGAUUUAUGCAAUUUUUUUUUUCAAGGUUCAUUCUUUAUCUUAUACACAAUAUUAAAGUUUUUUCUUUUUUGACAUCACAGGAGUUUUUUUAUGCGACAAUGAUAAAGAUUGUCGUAAUUAUAAAUGUCCCCCUCUUGAUUAUCCAAGGUGCAUAGGAAUUAUGUGUCGAUGUAUGGAAACUAGCGAUUAAUUUUAAAAAUAAUUUCGUGGUACUUUCAAGAUAUUAUAGUUGUAUUUACAAUUAUUUGAUAUUCUCAAAAGCAUUAUGCAAGUGUUGUUAUAUUUGUUCUCUAUUAGAAGUUAUAGCAUUAUGCAUUAUUGUUGCUAGUGAAAUCUGGUUUAUCUUUAUAUUUUUUUUAUUUUUUUUUACGAUUUCACCUAUGUAAUUUGAAGAUUGAUUGAACAAG
Molecule: long non-coding RNA, 863 nt
Filed under: Trifolium pratense (red clover)
Lineage: Eukaryota; Viridiplantae; Streptophyta; Magnoliopsida; Fabales; Fabaceae
Description: long non-coding RNA (TPRA_LNC013726)
Source: RNAcentral